RNAcentral lists this ribosomal RNA (254 nucleotides) under uncultured bacterium. Its description in RNAcentral is "partial 16S ribosomal RNA". It matches the Rfam family "Bacterial small subunit ribosomal RNA", at positions 524 to 776 of the family's 1533-position model. The record is from RNAcentral.
UACGUAGGGUGCAAGCGUUGCUCGGAAUUAUUGGGCGUAAAGAGCUCGUAGGCGGUUCAGUAAGUCAGGUGUGAAAUCUUUGGGCUUAACCCAAAGCGUGCACUUGAUACUGCUGUGACUUGAGUUCGGUAGGGAGUGGGGAAUUCCUAGUGUAGCGGUGAAAUGCGCAGAUAUUAGGAGGAACACCGGUGGCGAAGGCGCCACUCUGGGCCGAAACUGACGCUGAGGAAGCGAAAGCGUGGGUAGCAAACAGG